ACCACAACGAAUCUUAUCUCUAUCAUCCAGCUUGGCGCUAACCUCCCGCUCGAAGUCCCCGCCGCGAAGUUUCGGAUGGAUAUGGGAGUAACGAGAAUUGCAGUUCGUAUGAAGAUUCAGAUGCGGUUAGAGAAACAAGCGAUGGUGGGUUUUCAGUCGGCGUAUAUGGAAUUAAGAUGGAUUAGAAGAAGAAGCACUCAAAUCUCACAAACGGAUGGAAAGCUGCUAAGCCCAGCAAUUAGGCCGCCUUUUCCUAUUUACAUUUCCACGGACCCAAAACACAUUGAUCUUCACCAGCUGCAACAGCUUUAUGCCAAUUGCAACCACUCGUGCCAUAGGUUCCCCAAUUACGUGGACUCCCAUGGCCGCGUCGAACCCGUCGAUAUCCAUAAGCUCGGCGUUGCUCUGUCUCACAGCGCUGUGCUUGUCUCCGUAUUCUGCAAACCUCACCAUAUUGUUGAUGAUGACGGGGAUAGCGAUUCCACUUCCUCCACGGAUUCGUCGAAGACGAUUAUGGGUAUGGCAGAUUUCUUGCAGAGCGUGACGCCGGUUUCUCCCUUCGACGGUCAGUUGGUGGGCUUUGGCCGUGCCAUUUCUGAUUGCGGCCUUACCGCUUCAAUCUACGAUGUGAUGUACUUUGCAGGUCAUUCCUUCCCUCUGGAGACUGGGAAUUGGCCGAGUGAUAGUUAAAAAAAUUGUAAGGAUGCUCACAAAUAGAGACAUUUAUGACAUCGCAGCUCUUUGUACAGAGAAUGAGAGGUUAUUCUUUAAGGCAUGUGGAUUUGGAGGUGACAUUUUGGGCUCUACUACCAUGAUGUACACGAAGGCUACAUCAUCAACG
Molecule: RNA transcript, 841 nt
Organism: Neltuma alba
Lineage: Eukaryota; Viridiplantae; Streptophyta; Magnoliopsida; Fabales; Fabaceae
Exons: 4
Source: RefSeq, a predicted model, not a curated record